AAGUGACAUAAACUGGCAUGUUCUGAAAGAAUCACUCUGGAUGCUGUGUGGAGAAAACACUGAAAAGAAUUCUAGAGUGAAAGUUUCAUGAAUAUAAGAAGCAAGACAAGGAAGUGGCUUAUGCUUAAGGCCUUAAAGGCAACCACUGUGACAAUCCAGCCAUUCUCUGGAGAAUUCAGCAGAAAGCCAGUUGGAAGGUUUGAAAUGGAAAUUACAAGCGCAAUAUUACAGAAGUGUGGAUUUUAGUUACAAUGUCUCUAUGAGAAAGUCUAAAAGUUAAACAUAAGCAAAACAACAAAAACAUCUAAAUACCAGUCUUUAUAGGGGGAGAAUAAUUGACUCCAUUCAAGUGUUCGCUCCUGUUUCAAUCAACUAUGGCUGAAGAGUGAGGAGACAUUUGGAAUAAAUAUGGCUUCUGGGGGCCCAUUCCUAUGGAUCAGCAGCUGGCUUCUGGAGGCCCAUUCCUGUGAAUCGUCGAUCUCAUAGAAGAUAAUAUUGUUAGAAGGCUUACCUCAUUGAUGCUGAACAUCCUAAAAAGCUUCUGCUGCUUUGAGUCACUGAAAAAGACCAAGAAACAUGAAUUUAAAAAAAAAUUUCAAAUGUUAUAAAAUAAAUAAUAUGAACUCAUUAUACCUACAAUGAAUAAUUUAAAUUCUUCUUUGGUAGUCCAGGUUUAGAAACUAUGAAAACCCUAGAAGAAAACCUAGGCAAUGCCAUUCAGGACAUAGGCACGGACAAAGAUUUCAUGACGAAGACGCCAAAAACAACUGCAACAAAAGCAAAAAUUGACAGAUGGGAUCUCAUUAAACUAAAGAGCUUCCAUACAGCAAAAGAAGCUACCAUGAGAGUGAACAGACAACCUAUAGAAAGGGAGAAAAAUUUUGCAAUCUGUUCAUCUGACAAAGGUCUAAUAUCCAGCAUCUACAAGGAACUUAAAUAAAUUUACAAGAAAAAAACAAACCCAUUAGAAAAUGGGCAAAGGACAUGAAAAGAUACUUCUCAAAAGACAUACAUGUGGCCAACAAUCAUACAAAAAAAA
Molecule: long non-coding RNA, 1039 nt
Filed under: Homo sapiens (human)
Lineage: Eukaryota; Metazoa; Chordata; Mammalia; Primates; Hominidae
Description: HSALNT0342821
Source: RNAcentral